CCUUGUACACACCGCCCGUCACACCAUGGGAGUUUGUUGCUCCAGAAGUGGCCCCGCCAACCGCAAGGAGGCAGGUCCCCAAGGAGUGACAGGUAACUGGGGUG
RNAcentral lists this ribosomal RNA (104 nucleotides) under uncultured bacterium. RNAcentral describes it as "partial 16S ribosomal RNA". It matches the Rfam family "Bacterial small subunit ribosomal RNA", at positions 1379 to 1482 of the family's 1533-position model. The record is from RNAcentral.